Molecule: long non-coding RNA, 715 nt
Filed under: Sorghum bicolor (sorghum)
Lineage: Eukaryota; Viridiplantae; Streptophyta; Magnoliopsida; Poales; Poaceae
Description: long non-coding RNA (SBIC_LNC010471)
Source: RNAcentral
AGGCAACUUCCCGGCGGGCACAUUAAUGAAAGACUUGCGGUCACGAUUAGUCAAGUAAGAAUAAUUAAUGGAUACGGCUGAAUAUUUCUUCUUGUUGCUGCUCCCCUUGUCUUUGUUUCCCUUUUUCUUGUUCUUCUCUUGUUCUUUGGAAACGUGAUACGAUGCAUCAUCAUCACCAUCUUCCGAGCUACUAGAUAGCUCACUAGAAGAAGCAUCAUACGUCUUUCUUUCUUCUUGCUUUGUUCUUGCAGCCCUUCUUUUUGCUCUUUUUUUCGCGUAUGCGCUUUCUUUCUUCUUUUCUUUUCAGCUUCUCAUCAUGCCUUUGUUGUUCUUCUUUUGCUUUUCUCCUUGCUUCUCUUCUCGCUCUUCUUUUUUUAUUUCUUUCUUUCCGCAUCGGUGGUCUUUGUCAUCUUUGAGGGUGGCAUUACUCGCUGUGGAUAGUGACAUCUCACUGCCGCUGCUUGCAUCCUCGACAAGCACAUCAUCAUCCUUUAGCUCUCGGGCGGAUCUUGAUUCUCUUCCAACUUCCAUACUUCAUGCAGUGAAGCGUAUCUAAAGUAACGAGGCUCUGAUACCACUUGUAGGAUCUCCUAGAAGUUAAAGAGGCCUAGAGGGGGGGGGGGGUGAAUAGGCCUGUAAAGAUUCAACUCAAAACUCUAUUAGAACAAAGGGCGGCACUGUCGGCCUUCAAAUAAAAUACAAAGGUGGUACAACU